GGCUUGGUGGUGUAGUGGUUAUCACGUUUCGUUUACAGCUCAUUGUAAACCGUCACUUCAAGUGCAUCCUGAUGUACGAGGUCCGAAAAGGUCGCGAGUUCGAUCCUCGCCCGAGUCA
This is a non-coding RNA of Myriangium duriaei CBS 260.36, 118 nucleotides long. The record is from the annotation of a GenBank genome assembly. Lineage: Eukaryota; Fungi; Ascomycota; Dothideomycetes; Myriangiales; Myriangiaceae.